Molecule: long non-coding RNA, 469 nt
Filed under: Salvia miltiorrhiza (redroot sage)
Lineage: Eukaryota; Viridiplantae; Streptophyta; Magnoliopsida; Lamiales; Lamiaceae
Description: long non-coding RNA (SMIL_LNC010024)
Source: RNAcentral
GAUGUGUGUAUUUUAGCUACUUAGUUUAGUGUGUGUUUCGUCGUGAUUUCAUGUGAUUUUGCAUAGUUUGCAAUGUUUUGGCGCAGGAAUGAGCAGGAUUGGAGAUGGAGCUGUUGAUGGAAAGAAUUGGAGAAAGACGAGCUUUCGAUGGAAAUUUGAAGUGAAGAUGGAAGAUAAUUAGAGAUUGGGCUUUUAAUUACUUGUUAUAUUUUUAUGAAGCCCAAAACUCUUGUUUUAUUUUAAGUUUGGAUUUAAUUAGUUGAAAGGGGCCGAAGCCCAUGAUGUUUUGAUUAGGCGGCCUAGGGCCGCAUGCAUAGAUAGAGAUAUAUAUAGUUUUAGGUUAUUUUCUUUUGUUACACAACUUUGACAGCCGCAACUUUGGAAUUAGAAUAGCUAUAGUUGACUUUAUUUUUCAUGCAACUUUUCUCUUCCAUGCAAUUCUCUCUCUACGAUUUUAGUAAUUGAUUCC